This 506-nucleotide ribosomal RNA is filed under the name uncultured bacterium. RNAcentral's name for it is "partial 16S ribosomal RNA". It matches the Rfam family "Bacterial small subunit ribosomal RNA", at positions 899 to 1397 of the family's 1533-position model. The record is from RNAcentral.
ACUCAAAGGAAUUGACGGGGGCUCACACAAGCGGUGGAGCAUGUGGCUCAAUUCGAAGCAACGCGAAGAACCUUACCUGGGUUUGACAUGCACGGAUUAGUUCUUGGAAACAGGAAUAACGCCCGCAAGGGUGGAACGUGCACAGGUGCUGCAUGGCUGUCGUCAGCUCGUGCUGUGAAGCGUCGGGUUAAGUCCCUUAACGAGCGCAACCCUUGUCGUCAGUUACCAGCGGGUCAUGCCGGGUACUCUGACGAGACUGCCGGUGUCAAACCGGAGGAAGGCGGGGAUGACGUCAAGUCCUCAUGGCCCUUAUAUCCAGGGUUGCACACGUGCUACAAUGGUGCGUACAGAGCGAAGCGAGGCCGCGAGGCGGAGCAAAUCGCAAAAAGCGCACCCCAGUUCGGAUUGCAGGCUGCAACCCGCCUGCAUGAAGCCGGAAUCGCUAGUAAUCGCGGAUCAGCUACGCCGCGGUGAAUGUGUUCCUGAGCCUUGUACACACCGCCCGU